RNAcentral lists this ribosomal RNA (440 nucleotides) under uncultured bacterium. RNAcentral's name for it is "partial 16S ribosomal RNA". It matches the Rfam family "Bacterial small subunit ribosomal RNA", at positions 338 to 795 of the family's 1533-position model. The record is from RNAcentral.
CCUACGGGUGGCAGCAGUGAGGAAUAUUGGGCAAUGGAGGCAACUCUGACCCAGCCAUGCCGCGUGAGUGAAGAAGGUUUUCCGAUUGUAAAGCUCUUUCGGAUGUGACGAUAAUGACGGUAGCAUCUAAAUUAGCCCCGGCUAACUUCGUGCCAGCAGCCCCGGUAAUACGAAGGCUGCAAGCGUUGUUCGGAAUUACUGGGCGUAAAGGGAGUGUAGGCGGUUUAGUAAGAUAGUGGUGAAAUCCUAGGGCUUAACCUUGGAAUUGCCAUUAUAACUAUUAGACUAGAAUUACAGAGAGGAUAGUGGAAUACACAGUGUAGCGGUGAAAUUCGUAGAUAUUGGGUAGAACACCAGUGGCGAAGGCGACUAACUGGCUGUACAUUGACGCUGAGGCUCGAAAGCAUGGGGAUCAAACAGGAUUAGAUACCCCAGUAGUC